RNAcentral lists this transfer RNA (72 nucleotides) under Camelus ferus (Wild Bactrian camel). It matches the Rfam family "tRNA". Rfam says of the family: Transfer RNA (tRNA) molecules are approximately 80 nucleotides in length. The record is from Rfam by way of RNAcentral. Lineage: Eukaryota; Metazoa; Chordata; Mammalia; Artiodactyla; Camelidae.
AAGGAUAUAGUUCAGUGGUAGAGCCCAUGCUUAGCAUGCAUGAGGUCCUGGGUGCAGUCCCCAGUAUCUCCA